GCUGGGCAUGGUGGCACAUACCUGUAAUCCCAGCAACUCGGGAGGCUGAGGCAGAAGGAUUUAAAGUUUGAGGCCAACUUAAUGAGACCCUGUCUCAA
Molecule: small RNA, 98 nt
Filed under: Marmota monax (woodchuck)
Lineage: Eukaryota; Metazoa; Chordata; Mammalia; Rodentia; Sciuridae
Source: RNAcentral